CCCAGACUCCUACGGGAGGCAGCAGUGGGGGAUAUUGCACAAUGGGGGGAACCCUGAUGCAGCGACGCCGCGUGGGUGAAGGAGCGUUUCGGCGCGUAAAGCCCUAUCGGCAGGGAAGAGGGAGGACGGUACCUGACUAAGAAGCCCCGGCUAACUACGUGCCAGCAGCCGCGGUAAUACGUAGGGGGCAAGCGUUAUCCGGAUUUACUGGGUGUAAAGGGGGCGCAGACGGCAGCGCAAGCCAGGAGUGAAAGCCCGGGGCCCAACCCCGGGACUGCUCUUGGAACUGCGCGGCUGGAGUGCAGGAGGGGCAGGCGGAAUUCCUGGUGUAGCGGUGAAAUGCGUAGAUAUCAGGAGGAACACCGGUGGCGAAGGCGGCCUGCUGGACUGCGACUGACGUUGAGGCCCGAAAGCGUGGGGAGCAAACAGGAUUAGAUACCCCGGUA
This 446-nucleotide ribosomal RNA is filed under the name uncultured bacterium. RNAcentral describes it as "bacterial SSU rRNA". It matches the Rfam family "Bacterial small subunit ribosomal RNA", at positions 330 to 792 of the family's 1533-position model. The record is from RNAcentral.